AGGAUGAACGCUGGCGGCGUGCCUAAGACAUGCAAGUCGAGUGGGUUUAGACCCACGGCGAACGGGUGAGUAAUACCUAGGAACUUUUCUUUAGUUGAGGAUAUCCCAUCGAAAGAUGGUGCAAUACUCAAUGUGGUCACGGUGCAAAUCGUGACUAAAGUCGCAAGACGCUAAAGCUGAGGCCUGGGCACCAUCAGCUAGUUGGUAAGGUAAUGGCUUACCAAGGCUAUGACGGUUAGGGGCCCCGAGAGGGGAAACCCCCACACUGGAACUGCGACACGGUCCAGACUCCUACGGGAGGCAGCAGUUUGGAAUUUUGGACAAUGGGCGAAAGCCUGAUCCAGCGACGCCGCGUGGACGAUGAAGGCCUUCGGGUCGUAAAGUCCUUUUUGCUCGGGAACAAUAAUUUGAGCGUACCGAGAGAAUAAGAGGUUGCUAACUCUGUGCCAGCAGCCGC
This 457-nucleotide ribosomal RNA is filed under the name uncultured bacterium. RNAcentral describes it as "SSU rRNA". It matches the Rfam family "Bacterial small subunit ribosomal RNA", at positions 26 to 518 of the family's 1533-position model. The record is from RNAcentral.